AAGGUCACCACCUCCACUCCCGUUGUAUGCUGGGAUUGUAGUCCGGCCGCCCUGUGACUAACGGCUGGAACCGCCUAAGACACCACCCCAGCCAGCAUGGCCGGCAGGAGCGCACCGCGCUGUCUCCCUCCAGGGAUCCGCACCGCCCUACAAUCCUGCUUUGUGCUGAGAUUGUAGUCCUGCAGGCGUACAACUAACAAGCUGGGUGCAGAUAAGAGACUACAGCUCCCCGCAUCCCAAGCAAAGGUCCCUCCUCUACGGAGCCCCUCCACGCGUCCACUGCGGUUCCGCCGUGCCAAGGGGAGCUUGGCUGUUCACGGGCCUCACCUGCUAGCGAGAAGAUAGCUUGGCCGGGCGGCUGAUCUCACCUUGUAAUUCUGACACUGUGUCUCCCGGGCUUGUCGGCUUCAUGACUUGUGCCCAAAGUUUGAUUUCUCGCAGACCAGGAGGACCCAUUGGACCCCCGGGCUGGCUGCAGGGCCCACACCUGGGUUAGACCUCGCACAGGGACGCUGCUGCCACUGUAAUAAAGCGUGCCUACACGCUUCUGAAACUGGUGUAGGAACAACCUCAGUUCUGUGAAAGGCGGACGCAGCAGGACAGAAUCUCCGUGGACAUCUGUCUGGAGGAGCAAUUUUACUGCGACAUUUUAAAGAAACAAAUUUAAUUGAUUUCCAAGGCUGGAUUGUUCCAAAAAAAAAAAAUCUAGAAGGUCAAAUUCAUCAUGCAGGAAGGAGGGUAAGAAUAUAUAUAGAGAGAAAAGAACAGAGAAGAAAUACAACAGCAACUCACUGUAAGUACUGUAGAAACAAACUGAAAGUUGGGUUAGAAAAAAAAAAAGAAGAAGGUCCAAGUAGUCUGAAGGACUCGGGAGGCCAAGAUGGGAAGUCCACCCAGAUGACACCGGGGAGAUCGAGGCUGCAGAGAAUAAGGAUCACAUCCCUCUGCUGGACCUGAAUGGUACUGAUGCUGUUGAGAGCCAUCUGGUCCUCAGACAUGGGAAGGCAAGAGCCAUCUGUUCGACCUUAGACAUGGCAAGAUGAAAGCUAAGUCCAGUGCUCGCUGCCAACACGUUUCUCAAAAUAAAUAAACAAAAAUUUCAACAGUAAAUAUUCAACAAUAACAAAGAAAUAAUAACAACUUUAAAGACCAAUAAGUAAAUAA
This 1164-nucleotide long non-coding RNA is filed under the name Homo sapiens (human). Its description in RNAcentral is "long intergenic non-protein coding RNA 662". The record is from RNAcentral. Lineage: Eukaryota; Metazoa; Chordata; Mammalia; Primates; Hominidae.